UGGGGAAUUUUGGACAAUGGGGGAAACCCUGAUCCAGCCAUCCCGCGUGUGCGAUGAAGGCCUUCGGGUUGUAAAGCACUUUUGGCAGGAAAGAAACGUCGCGGGUUAAUACCCCGCGAAACUGACGGUACCUGCAGAAUAAGCACCGGCUAACUACGUGCCAGCAGCCGCGGUAAUACGUAGGGUGCAAGCGUUAAUCGGAAUUACUGGGCGUAAAGCGUGCGCAGGCGGUUCGGAAAGAAAGAUGUGAAAUCCCAGAGCUUAACUUUGGAACUGCAUUUUUAACUACCGGGCUAGAGUGUGUCAGAGGGAGGUGGAAUUCCGCGUGUAGCAGUGAAAUGCGUAGAUAUGCGGAGGAACACCGAUGGCGAAGGCAGCCUCCUGGGAUAACACUGACGCUCAUGCACGAAAGCGUGGGGAGCAAACAGGAUUAGAUACCCUGGUAGUCCACGCCCUAAACGAUGUCAACUAGCUGUUGGGGCCUUCGGGCCUUGGUAGCGCAGCUAACGCGUGAAGUUGACCGCCUGGGGAGUACGGUCGCAAGAUUAAAACUCAAAUGAAUUGACGGGGGUCAUAGCUG
This 580-nucleotide ribosomal RNA is filed under the name uncultured bacterium. RNAcentral describes it as "partial 16S ribosomal RNA". It matches the Rfam family "Bacterial small subunit ribosomal RNA", at positions 355 to 928 of the family's 1533-position model. The record is from RNAcentral.